RNAcentral lists this ribosomal RNA (557 nucleotides) under uncultured bacterium. RNAcentral's name for it is "bacterial SSU rRNA". It matches the Rfam family "Bacterial small subunit ribosomal RNA", at positions 102 to 694 of the family's 1533-position model. The record is from RNAcentral.
ACGGGUGAGUAACGCGUGGGAAUCUACCGUACCCUACGGAAUAGCUCUGGGAAACUGGAAGUAAUACCGUAUACGCCCUAACGGGGAAAGAUUUAUCGGGGUAUGAUGAGCCCGCGUUGGAUUAGCUAGUUGGUGGGGUAAAGGCCUACCAAGGCGACGAUCCAUAGCUGGUCUGAGAGGAUGAUCAGCCACAUUGGGACUGAGACACGGCCCAAACUCCUACGGGAGGCAGCAGUGGGGAAUAUUGGACAAUGGGCGCAAGCCUGAUCCAGCCAUGCCGCGUGAGUGAUGAAGGUCUUAGGAUUGUAAAGCUCUUUCAACGGUGAAGAUAAUGACGGUAACCGUAGAAGAAGCCCCGGCUAACUUCGUGCCAGCAGCCGCGGUAAUACGAAGGGGGCUAGCGUUGUUCGGAAUUACUGGGCGUAAAGCGCACGUAGGCGGGUAUUUAAGUCAGGGGUGAAAUCCCGCAGCUCAACUGCGGAACUGCCUUUGAUACUGGGUAUCUUGAGUAUGGAAGAGGUAAGUGGAAUUGCGAGUGUAGAGGUGGAAUUCGUAGA